RNAcentral lists this ribosomal RNA (467 nucleotides) under uncultured bacterium. RNAcentral describes it as "partial 16S ribosomal RNA". It matches the Rfam family "Bacterial small subunit ribosomal RNA", at positions 28 to 507 of the family's 1533-position model. The record is from RNAcentral.
GACGAACGCUGGCGGCGGGCUUAACACAUGCAAGUCGAACGAUGAAGCCCAGCGUGCUGGGUGGUUUAGUGGCGAAGGGGCGAGUAACACGUGAGCAACGUGCCCGAAACUCUGGAAUAACUACCGAAAACGGUGGCCAAUACUGGAUAUGUGACAGGGAGUACGCUCCACAGGAUGGAAAGUUUUUGCGGUUUCGGAUCGGCUGACGGCCUAUCGGCUUGUUGGGUGGGUAAUGGACUACCAAGGCGAGGACGGGUAGCCGGCCUGAGCGGGUGACCGGCCACAAUGGGACUGCGACACGGACCAGACUCCUACGGGAGGCAGAAGUGGGGAAUAUUGCACAAUGGGCGCAAGCCUGAUGCAGCAACGCCGCGUGAGGGAUGACGGCCUUCGGGUUGUAAACCUCUUUUAGUAGGGAAGAAGCGCAAGUGACGGUACCUGCAGAAAAAGCACCGGCUAACUACGUG